GUCACCCCAAGAGAAAUAAGUCUCAGCCCAUCAACUUGCUGAUGCUACAACUUCUCUGAGAGAGGUGAGGAUGUUCUCAAAGGAGGCAAGAAUACUCAUUAUUGAAAAGGCUUUGAUAUUUCUGUGUUGGAUUAGUCUUUGAUAUUUGGAAAUCAGAUCAUCAUUAUUGGAGCAGUGGCGUUCUUAAUGAGGGAAAAAAAAACAUCUAAAGCGAACUAAAUGGUGGAGAGGAAAGUCUGUAAAUGUUAAUAGCACUUUACAACCAUUAUCCCAAUUUGCUCCUGUAACAAUCAUGAACGAGAAGAGUGAAGAACUAUUGGGCUGUUCCUUAGAAUAGAGACAGUGAUGUGGACAAGGCAGUAUACAACGUAUGGGCAUAAGAGGGAGUCUUAUGGGACCAGAUCCAGCAGCACUGGUCAGUGAUGGAUUGGAAGAAAACUCGCCCUUCAGCACAGAAGGUUUGAGCAGCACAGCUUUACUGGGUCCUCCUGGGUUAAUCCUUCCUAAACGUACUUGUCUUGUGAAUUAUUCCCUUACGCAACGAUUUUAAUGUCUUCUCGUCUUCCAUUGUAUCAUGUUGUAUUAGUCCGUUCUCACGCUGCUAGGAAGAAAUACCUGAGACUGGGUAAUUUAUAAAGAAAAGAGGUUUAAUUGACUCAGUGCCGCGAGGCCGGGGAG
RNAcentral lists this long non-coding RNA (678 nucleotides) under Papio anubis (olive baboon). Its description in RNAcentral is "lncRNA (ENSPANG00000047126.1)". The record is from RNAcentral. Lineage: Eukaryota; Metazoa; Chordata; Mammalia; Primates; Cercopithecidae.